Molecule: ribosomal RNA, 488 nt
Filed under: uncultured bacterium
Lineage: Bacteria
Description: partial 16S ribosomal RNA
Rfam family: Bacterial small subunit ribosomal RNA
Source: RNAcentral
GACGAACGCUGGCGGCGUGCUUAACACAUGCAAGUCGAACGGAAAGGCCCUGCUUUUGUGGGGUGUUCGAGUGGCGAACGGGUGAGUAACACGGGAGUAACCUGCCCUGGACUUUGGGAUAACUUCAGGAAACUGGGGCUAAUACCGGAUAGGAGCGCCUGCUGCAUGGUGGGGGUUGGACAGUUUCGGCGGAUGGGGAUGUACUGAGGGCUUGUCAGCUUGUUGGUGGGGUAAUGGCUUACCAAGGCUUUGACGGGUAGCCGGCCUGAGAGGGUGACCGGGGACAAUGGAACGGAGAGACGGUGCAGACUCAUACGGGAGGCAGCAGUGGGGAAGAUUGUACAAGGGGGGAAAGCCUGAGCCAGCGAUGCCGCGUGUGUGAAGAAGGUCUUCGGAUGGUAAAGAACUUUAAGGUGGGAGGAAGGGGAGUAAGUUGAUAACUUGCUGGUUUGACGUUACCAACAGAAUGAGCACCGGCUAACUUCGUG